Molecule: long non-coding RNA, 307 nt
Filed under: Homo sapiens (human)
Lineage: Eukaryota; Metazoa; Chordata; Mammalia; Primates; Hominidae
Description: non-protein coding lnc-PLIN1-1:1
Source: RNAcentral
UGAACAUUCCUAAAACCUGUCAGACUGUAAGAAGUGUGGCAAGCACCAACCCCACAAAGUGACAUAGUACAAGAAGAGCAAGGAUUCUCUGUAUGCCCAGGGAAAGCAGCAUUAUGACAGGAAGCAGAGUGGCUGUGGUGGGCAGACUAAGCCGAUUUUCCAGAAAAAGUCUAAAACUACCAAGAAGUUUGUGCUAAAGCUUGAGUGUGUUGAGCCCAGUGAAGAUCUAAGAGAAUCCUGGCUAUUAAAAGAUGCCAGCAUUUUGAACUGGGAGGAGAUAAGAAGAGAAAGGGCCAAGUGAUCCAGU